GAUGAACGCUAGCGGCAGGCUUAAUACAUGCAAGUCGAGGGGCAGCAGGGUGUAGCAAUACAUCGCUGGCGACCGGCAAACGGGUGCGGAACACGUACGCAACCUUCCUUCAAGCGAGGAAUAGCCCAGGGAAACUUGGAUUAAUACCUCGUAACAUUGUGAAGUGGCAUCACUUUAUAAUUAAAGCUCAGGCGCUUGAAGAUGGGCGUGCGACUGAUAGGUAGUUGGCGGAGUAACAGCCCACCAAGCCUGCGAUCAGUAACUGGUGUGAGAGCACGACCAGUCACACGGGCACUGAGACACGGGCCCGACUCCUACGGGAGGCAGCAGUAAGGAAUAUUGGUCAAUGGACGCAAGUCUGAACCAGCCAUGCCGCGUGGAGGAUGAAGGUCCUCUGGAUUUGUAAACUUUCUUUUAUUUGGGGAAGAAACCCUCGUUUUCUAAUGUGGUUGACGGUACCAGAUGAAUAAGC
Molecule: ribosomal RNA, 472 nt
Filed under: uncultured bacterium
Lineage: Bacteria
Description: bacterial SSU rRNA
Rfam family: Bacterial small subunit ribosomal RNA
Source: RNAcentral